UACGGAGGAUGCAAGCGUUAUCCGGAAUGAUUGGGCGUAAAGCGUCCGCAGGUGGCUGUGUAAGUCUGCUGUCAAAGAGCAAAGCUCAACUUUGUAAAGGCAGUGGAAACUACACGGCUAGAGUGCGUUCGGGGCAGAGGGAAUUCCUGGUGUAGCGGUGAAAUGCGUAGAGAUCAGGAAGAACACCGGUGGCGAAGGCGCUCUGCUAGGCCGACACUGACACUGAGAGACGAAAGCUAGGGGAGCGAAUGGG
RNAcentral lists this ribosomal RNA (253 nucleotides) under uncultured bacterium. Its description in RNAcentral is "partial 16S ribosomal RNA". It matches the Rfam family "Bacterial small subunit ribosomal RNA", at positions 524 to 776 of the family's 1533-position model. The record is from RNAcentral.